This is a long non-coding RNA of Piliocolobus tephrosceles (Ugandan red Colobus), 582 nucleotides long. RefSeq lists it as uncharacterized. The record is from RefSeq and is a predicted model, not a curated record. The transcript has 3 exons. Lineage: Eukaryota; Metazoa; Chordata; Mammalia; Primates; Cercopithecidae.
AACCGGAAAGGUCUCACUCAACUCGUCCCCAAGGUCUCUGGGUAGAAGGGACAAGAAGGGAAAACCUGCCUCCUAAGACACCCCACUCAGCACCCCACCCCCCAGAUGCAAGACACAGCUGUGCAUAGCGGUGGCAGUGAGGACCCUGGCCCGCAGUCCUCGGGCAGCCCCACGGUGAGCUGUGAGGAGCCAGCCCAGCACGGCACACAUGAAGGAAUAGAGAAGGAGCUUCUACUGCUUCUGUAGAUGUAGAAACCGAGGCACGCACAGACAGGUCAUGCGUGAUAUUGUUUGGACAUUGUCCUCUCCAAAUCUCAUGCUGAAAUGUGAUCCCUGAUGUUGGAGGUAAGGCCUGCAGGGGCAGCGGUUGAGUCAUGGGGGCGGAUCUCUCAUGGAAGGCUUGGUGCCCUCCCCAUGGUCAUCAGGUGCGGGAGAUCUGAUUGCUAUAAAGAGUCUGGGAGGGCUGGGUGCGAUGGAUCACGCCUGUAAUCCCAGCACUUUGGGAGGCCGAGGUGGGUGGAUCACAAGGUCAGGAGUUUGGGUCCAGCCCAACCAACAUGGCAAAACCCCGUCUCUAGUAAA